This 775-nucleotide ribosomal RNA is filed under the name uncultured Neocallimastigales. RNAcentral's name for it is "partial large subunit ribosomal RNA". It matches the Rfam family "Eukaryotic large subunit ribosomal RNA", at positions 24 to 646 of the family's 3401-position model. The record is from RNAcentral. Lineage: Eukaryota; Fungi; Neocallimastigomycota; Neocallimastigomycetes; Neocallimastigales.
GUAGUCUCGCACAGAUGCAUAUCAAUAAGCGGAGGAAAAGAAACUAACAAGGAUUCCCCUAGUAACGGCGAGUGAAGCGGGAAGAGCUCAAAUUUGAAAUCUUAAAGGGUUUCCCUUUACGAAUUGUAGUUUAAAGAAGUGUUUUCUGUUGAGGUUUUGGUAAAAGUUCUUUGGAAUAGGACAUCAUAGAGGGUGAGAAUCCCGUAUUUGACCUUUACUUUCAACUUUGUGAUACACUUUCAAAGAGUCGGAUUGUUUGGGAAUAGCAGUCCAAGAUGGGUGGUAAAUUUCAUCUAAAGCUAAAUAUUGGCGAGAGACCGAUAGCGAACAAGUACCGUGAGGGAAAGAUGAAAAGAACUUUGAAAAGAGAGUUAAACAGUACGUGAAAUUGUCAAAAGGGAAGCGUUUGACACCAGUGUUGUUUUUCUGAAAAUCAAUUAAAGAACUGUUUAUGCUAAGCUGUUUAGACUUUAUCAGCUAUCUGUUUAGUUUUGAGCUUUUCUUUAAUGCACUUUUCAGUUAACAAGUCAACAUCAAUUUCUUUUGCUGUAAAAAAGCUUGAGGAAGGUGGCUUGAGAUUCGUCUUAAGUGUUUAUAGCCUCUUGCCUAUGCAGUCGGAGAGAUUGAGGUCUGCAGCGUAGAUCCUUCGGGGCUAAAUGCAUUUGUGCUAAGUUAUAGCAUUUUAUAGACAACUUGUUGACUAUGAUUUGUCUUGUAGCUUACUCGCUUAUGUUAUUUUACCUACGCUUAGGAUGUUGAUGUGAUACUGCGAGCA